Molecule: ribosomal RNA, 447 nt
Filed under: uncultured organism
Description: partial 16S ribosomal RNA
Rfam family: Bacterial small subunit ribosomal RNA
Source: RNAcentral
UACACUCCUACGGGAGGCAGCAGUGGGGAAUAUUGGACAAUGGGCGCAAGCCUGAUCCAGCCAUGCCGCGUGAGUGAUGAAGGCCCUAGGGUUGUAAAGCUCUUUCACCGGUGAAGAUAAUGACGGUAACCGGAGAAGAAGCCCCGGCUAACUUCGUGCCAGCAGCCGCGGUAAUACGAAGGGGGCUAGCGUUGUUCGGAUUUACUGGGCGUAAAGCGCACGUAGGCGGACUAUUAAGUCAGGGGUGAAAUCCCGGGGCUCAACCCCGGAACUGCCUUUGAUACUGGUAGUCUUGAGUUCGAGAGAGGUGAGUGGAAUUCCGAGUGUAGAGGUGAAAUUCGUAGAUAUUCGGAGGAACACCAGUGGCGAAGGCGGCUCACUGGCUCGAUACAGAUGCUGAGGUGCGAAAGCGUGGGGAGCAAACAGGAUUAGAAACCCCAGUAGUCC